AUCUGUCUGGGCAAGAGCUGCUCAAGCCACACCUUGUGACACUGAGGGUCUCACUGUGUCACCCAGGCUGGAGUGCAGUGGUGUGAACAUAGCUCACUGCAGCCUCGGACUCCUGACCUCAAGCAAUCCUCCCGCCUUAGCCUUCCAGGUGCUUGAGAUGAGAAACAGACUUUUUUUCCUUUGAGAAUUCAUUAUUUCUCCCCUUGGGCUGUUUGUUCAAACCCACACAGGAGCAGGAACAUUGCUUUCGAUUGCCAAAGAAAUGACAUAAUGAUGCCAAUGAUUAAAAUGUCAAGAACACAGUGUCUUGGGCUGAGAUGGUAAAGGCAGCAUUCAGGCAGUGAUGAUCUGGGGUGAUAGGAGUGGCUGUGGGGAGACGGAGGCCUCCCUUCUUGUAGGAUGGGACUCGGUCUUUCCUCUGCCUCAUUGCUAUUAUUGUCUUGUUUUAUUUUUGCUUUUGUUUGUUUGGGUAGGUGAAAAGGCAGGUCGGGUGAAGAAGAGCAGGAUGUUUCAUUUUUAUCAAGCAUCACCUGAUUCAAAAUGUAGCCACUGAAAAGAAGCCAUCGUUUUUGGCCUGCGUCUCUGAGGAUAAGAUAGUGCGUGGGUGAUGGAUGCAGCCCAGGUGGGAGCUGUCUGCAAAUAACCCAGCUGCUUCCUGUGGCCCUGGUCAUCCUGCUGCCCUCAGCUUCUCCCACGGAGGCCACCUGCCCCCCUAACACUGAGCUGCUCACCUAGUCCAGCCACCAGCGACGGCCCCUGGCCUUUGACGUGUCUGUUCUCUCCUCUCUCACUCCACCACCACUAGCUUCCAGGGAUCUCCAGCCUGUAUAGAAACUUCUCACUACGCUCUGCUCUCGCCCUUUUAGCAGUCUCCUUAUGCUGCUGACUCCACCUCCCAGGCAAAUCAUUCUAAUUUAAUUCUUUACAAGUAUUCUCCCUCCUGGAGUGCUGGGCUCCACCACGGGGGCAAUCAAGGCACAUCACCCACAGCUUUCCAGACACCCACAGCCUUCCUGUCCUGCUGUGAGCGUGGCUCCUUCAGCCUUCUUCCUUCUUCGCCUGUGGGGAGUCAGACAUUCGCCAACCUCGUGCUCAAUCCCUGCCUCUGUCCAGGCCUGCUAAGCCCAUAAGACAUAUCUGCAUGUGUCAGAAUAUGUGCAAGCUUUCGACAGGAUCCCCGUUUCUCCCCAUGGAGCUUUUGGCAAAUGAAGGGUGUGGUUCAGCAGCUGGUCUGAUGUCCCUUAAGCUCCCCCACACCAGCACACCAGGACUGUCUCUGUCUCCACAUUCCAGCAUAUCUGGGUCUCAGCUUUGACACAAUCAGACACUGUUGCUGAAGUUUUUAUGUUUAUAUGACAGAAGAAACUGUCACCCCUCCCCUGCCCCCCGCCCCCACCCACCUGUUAUAAGAAAGAGCUCCAAGGUCUUGAGACCACACGCAGGGGAUGGGAAAGCUGACAUUAAAGGGGAAUGAGGUCUUUCUGUGAUUCCAGCAGCCUCAGGAGGACAACGUCAGAAACCAAAAGCUCCUCUGCCCAGGGAUGGGGACCCGCCGACUUCAAGGGCAGAACAGGUGCCUGGCUAGUGGGGGAGUUCCCCAAUGUGGAUUUAAACUGUAGUGUCUUCAGAGAACAUAACCAACAUUUGUCUUUAGGAGAUGUGUUUGUUUGAGUAGAUCAGCUAUGAAAAUACCCAGCCGGCCUGCAGCCCUCCCGGCAGAUGCUGAAAAGGAAACCCGACUGGGAGAUGCCGCCCACCCUUAUCCCCAGAGAGCUGCGUUGUUUCCUCUUGCCUUGGCCUUUGGAUCCGGCCAUAGCAAGCAUCCCUGGGCACCUGGCUGAAGCUGGAAACUCGGGAUAAGAAUGGAAGCCCUGGAAGGGAAGAAGAACCGAGGAGUGAGCUUGCCCUGAGGACAGCACAUUGCACUCUCACCUCCUUUGCAGUUAAGUGUGAAAUAGUGCCAAUAGAGUGUAAAAGAAAAGAAAGAAGAUGAUUCACCUCCCAAAGAUUCCCCACUGCUGUGUCCCUUCUAUCAACUUGAUACAAAAAAACACAAUGGCCCCGGGAACCACGUGUUGAAGAUGAGAGAGCUAAAAGAUGGAAAGAGACUGGAGCCCUGAGUCACCACCUGGAGGAAAACUACCCACCCAUCAGGAAUUUCUACUACACAUUUGGGAGUUUUUGGGGUUACAGCAGCUAAUUUAACGAAAACACCCAGAGACAAGAGCUAUUACUGCACAAAUUGGUUAAGUUACCUUUUUGUAUGUUUGGGUCCUCUCUAUUCGAUGAGACUGCGCGUUCCUUUGAAGCAAAUCUGUUUAAAAUUCUUAUAUCCCCAGAGGGCCUAGCAGAGAGUAUGCACAGAGUGAGCCUUCAGUAAAUGCUGAGUAAAUAAGCUCCUAAUGGAUGAAACUGUGUCUUCGAAGUUUGUUCUGACCAGUACUUAGUAUAGGAUUUUGUGCUGUUGGUCACUUUUCAUAAAGGUUCUUGCUAUUAAGGAACUUGACAUCCAAUGUACUCAUAGAAAGUAGAAAUUCAGGGGAAACAAAUAGAAGAGAUAUGUCCAAAAAUCCAUUUAAAAUUUCAUUGACAGAUAUUUAUCUCUUUAAUCCUGGAAGUUGUUUCAUGUAAGGGAAGGUUCAGUAGAAUGAAAACAGGACUGUAAGCUGGGAGGAGAUUUGGGGUCUCUUGGCCAACUCUGCCACAAAUUGUGUUACCUUCAACUUCCCUGCCUGUAAAAUGAAGUCAGUGGUCCCUAAAAUGAAAUUGGACUAAUGGCAAAUUAGCUAGCAUUUGAUUAUACAUCGAUAGUUUCCCCAUGUGAUUUUAACGCACAAAUCAGAUUUUGGAACCAUUAGGUAGGUGAUCUUAUCUUAUGAGUUUAUCUUUUUCAACAUGGAAAAAUAAAUUUGUUUUGCUGACCGAAGGCUGUGUAACUUAGAACUGGAAAGAGACAUGUAAUUGAAUAACCCAUCUCUAUGGGGCAAAAAAAUGAAACACCUUUAGUUUGUUCAAAGAUGAAAUGGAAAAAUAAACAUGUUUUAAGAUG
Molecule: long non-coding RNA, 3049 nt
Filed under: Homo sapiens (human)
Lineage: Eukaryota; Metazoa; Chordata; Mammalia; Primates; Hominidae
Description: non-protein coding LINC01093:12
Source: RNAcentral